This 329-nucleotide ribosomal RNA is filed under the name Salmonella enterica. RNAcentral's name for it is "partial 23S ribosomal RNA". It matches the Rfam family "Bacterial large subunit ribosomal RNA", at positions 504 to 733 of the family's 2925-position model. RNAcentral also lists the same sequence under 13 other names. The record is from RNAcentral. Lineage: Bacteria; Pseudomonadati; Pseudomonadota; Gammaproteobacteria; Enterobacterales; Enterobacteriaceae.
UGAGGGAAAGGCGAAAAGAACCCCGGCGAGGGGAGUGAAAAAGAACCUGAAACCGUGUACGUACAAGCAGUGGGAGCCCCACCACCAAAGCAUUCUCUGGUGUUGAAGGCCCUGCAAAGCAGCAUCGCGGUGGCGGAGCGUCGUUUGCGACGCCCAACACACAAAACAAGCGGUGAAUGCUUUGGGGUGGGGUGACUGCGUACCUUUUGUAUAAUGGGUCAGCGACUUAUAUUCUGUAGCAAGGUUAACCGAAUAGGGGAGCCGGAGGGAAACCGAGUCUUAAUUGGGCGUUAAGUUGCAGGGUAUAGACCCGAAACCCGGUGAUCUAG